RNAcentral lists this ribosomal RNA (253 nucleotides) under uncultured bacterium. RNAcentral describes it as "partial 16S ribosomal RNA". It matches the Rfam family "Bacterial small subunit ribosomal RNA", at positions 524 to 776 of the family's 1533-position model. The record is from RNAcentral.
UACGUAGGUGGCUAGCGUUGUCCGGAUUUACUGGGCGUAAAGAGCGCGCAGGCGGUCGUUCAAGUCGAGUGUGAAAGCCCCCGGCUCAACUGGGGAGGGUCACUCGAUACUGAUCGACUUGAAGGCGGGAGAGGGAAGCGGAAUUCCCGGUGUAGUGGUGAAAUGCGUAGAUAUCGGGAGGAACACCAGUGGCGAAGGCGGCCUUCUGGACGGAUACUGACGCUGAGGCGCGAAAGCCAGGGGAGCAAACGGG